Molecule: ribosomal RNA, 2923 nt
Filed under: Lactiplantibacillus plantarum
Lineage: Bacteria; Bacillati; Bacillota; Bacilli; Lactobacillales; Lactobacillaceae
Description: 23S ribosomal RNA
Rfam family: Bacterial large subunit ribosomal RNA
Source: RNAcentral
GGUUAAGUUAACAAGGGCGCAUGGUGAAUGCCUUGGCACUAGGAGCCGAUGAAGGACGGGACUAACACCGAUAUGCUUCGGGGAGCUGUACGUAAGCUAUGAUCCGGAGAUUUCCGAAUGGGGCAACCCAGCAGUUUUAAUCAACUGUUACCACUAGAUGAAUUCAUAGUCUAGUUGGAGGUAAACGCUGUGAACUGAAACAUCUCAUUAGCAGCAGGAAUAUAAAGAAAUUUCGAUUCCCUAAGUAGCGGCGAGCGAACGGGGAACAGCCCAAACCAAAGUGCUUGCACUUUGGGGUUGUAGGACUGAACAUUUGAGUUACCAAAGAACUUGAUAGUCGAAGGAUUUGGGAAAAUCCGCCAUAGAUGGUGAUAGCCCAGUAGAUUAAAUCAAAUUCUCUCAGUUCAGGAUCCUGAGUACGGCGGAACACGUGAAAUUCCGUCGGAAUCCGGGAGGACCAUCUCCCAAGGCUAAAUACUACCUAGUGACCGAUAGUGAACCAGUACCGUGAGGGAAAGGUGAAAAGCACCCCGGGAGGGGAGUGAAAUAGUUCCUGAAACCAUGUGCCUACAAUAAGUCAGAGCGCGUUAAUGCGUGAUGGCGUGCCUUUUGUAGAAUGAACCGGCGAGUUAUGAUCCCGUGCAAGGUUAAGACUAAAAAGUCGGAGCCGUAGCGAAAGCGAGUCUGAAAUGGGCGUUUUGAGUACGAGGUUAUAGACCCGAAACCAGGUGACCUAUCCAUGUCCAGGUUGAAGGUGCGGUAAAACGCACUGGAGGACCGAACCCGUGUAAGUUGAAAAUUGCUGGGAUGAGGUGUGGAUAGCGGUGAAAUUCCAAACGAACUUGGAGAUAGCUGGUUCUCUCCGAAAUAGCUUUAGGGCUAGCCUCGGAAUUAGGAUCAUGGAGGUAGAGCACUAUUUGGACUAGGGGCCCGUCUUGGGUUACUGAAUUCAGAUAAACUCCGAAUGCCAUUGAUUCAUAUCCGGGAGUCAGACGAUGAGUGAUAAGAUCCACCGUCGAAAGGGGAACAGCCCAGACCAUCAGUUAAGGUCCCUAAAUGUAUGCUAAGUGGAAAAGGAUGUGGAGUUGCAUAGACAACUAGGAUGUUGGCUCAGAAGCAGCCACCAUUUAAAGAGUGCGUAAUAGCUCACUAGUCGAGUGAUCCUGCGCCGAAAAUGUACCGGGGCUAAGCAUACUACCGAAACCAUGGAUGCGACCAUUAGGUCGCGUGAUAGGAGAGCGUUCUAAGGGCGGUGAAGCAAGAUCGUGAGGACUUGUGGAGCGCUUAGAAGUGAGAAUGCCGGUAUGAGUAGCGAAAGAUAGGUGAGAAUCCUAUCCACCGAAUGACUAAGGUUUCCUGGGGAAGGCUCGUCCUCCCAGGGUUAGUCGGGACCUAAGUCGAGGCCGAGAGGCGUAGACGAUGGAUAACAGGUUGAGAUUCCUGUACUAGUUAAGUGCGUUUGAGCAAUGGAGGGACGCAGGAGGCUAAGAUGUGCAUUCUGUUGGAUUAGAAUGUCCAAGCAGUAAGUCUUGUGAAGAGUCAAAUGCUUUUCACUUUAAGGACAAGCUGUGAUGGGGAGCGAAAUUUAGUAGCGAAGCGUCUGAUGUCACACUGCCGAGAAAAGCUUCUAGUGAGUACUUAACUACCCGUACCGCAAACCGACACAGGUAGUCGAGGAGAGAAUCCUAAGGUGAGCGAGUGAACUCUCGUUAAGGAACUCGGCAAAAUGACCCCGUAACUUCGGGAGAAGGGGUGCUGAUCGCAAGAUCAGCCGCAGUGAAUAGGCCCAGGCGACUGUUUAUCAAAAACACAGGUCUCUGCAAAAUCGUAAGAUGACGUAUAGGGGCUGACGCCUGCCCGGUGCUGGAAGGUUAAAAGGAUGGGUUAGCUUCGGCGAAGCUCAGAAUUGAAGCCCCAGUAAACGGCGGCCGUAACUAUAACGGUCCUAAGGUAGCGAAAAAUUCCUUGUCGGGUAAGUUCCGACCCGCACGAAAGGCGUAACGAUCUGGGCACUGUCUCAACGAGAGACUCGGUGAAAUUAUAUUGUCCGUGAAGAUGCGGACUACCCGCGACAGGACGGAAAGACCCCAUGGAGCUUUACUGUAGCUUGAUAUUGAGUGUUUGUACAGCUUGUACAGGAUAGGUAGGAGCCAUAGAAACCGGAACGCUAGUUUCGGUGGAGGCGUUGGUGGGAUACUACCCUCGCUGUAUGACCACUCUAACCCGCACCACUAAUCGUGGUGGGAGACAGUGUCAGGUGGGCAGUUUGACUGGGGCGGUCGCCUCCUAAAAAGUAACGGAGGCGCCCAAAGGUUCCCUCAGAAUGGUUGGAAAUCAUUCGCAGAGUGUAAAGGCACAAGGGAGCUUGACUGCGAGACAGACAGGUCGAGCAGGGACGAAAGUCGGGCUUAGUGAUCCGGUGGUACCGUAUGGAAGGGCCAUCGCUCAACGGAUAAAAGCUACCCUGGGGAUAACAGGCUUAUCUCCCCCAAGAGUCCACAUCGACGGGGAGGUUUGGCACCUCGAUGUCGGCUCAUCGCAUCCUGGGGCUGUAGUCGGUCCCAAGGGUUGGGCUGUUCGCCCAUUAAAGCGGUACGCGAGCUGGGUUCAGAACGUCGUGAGACAGUUCGGUCCCUAUCCGUCGCGGGCGUAGGAAAUUUGAGAGGACCUGUCCUUAGUACGAGAGGACCGGGAUGGACAUACCUCUGGUGUACCAGUUGUGCCGCCAGGCGCAUCGCUGGGUAGCUACGUAUGGAUGUGAUAAACGCUGAAAGCAUCUAAGUGUGAAACACACCUCGAGAUGAGAUUUCCCAUUCCUUUAUGGAAGUAAGACCCCUGAAAGAUGAUCAGGUAGAUAGGUUAGAAGUGGCAGUGCGGUGACGCAUGAAGCGGACUAAUACUAAUCGGUCGAGGACUUAACCAA